Long non-coding RNA from Mesocricetus auratus (golden hamster), 824 nucleotides. RefSeq lists it as uncharacterized. The transcript has 2 exons. NCBI's taxonomy places the organism in Eukaryota, Metazoa, Chordata, Mammalia, Rodentia, Cricetidae. The record is from RefSeq and is a predicted model, not a curated record.
UCUUGUGUUCUCCUCGGCUUUUUCUGUCUUGGAGAGUGACUUGCUUAUAAGGACGUGUUGUGUGACUUUUCCUGGCAAGAUGUGAAGGAAUCUCUAUUUAUCCCAAAUAGAGUGCUGACGACUGACAAAGAAAUGCCCGGCUAAGUCCAGGUUCCUGCCCUGUGAGCUCAUUGUGGCUACUUAAGAGCAUGGUUGAAUCAAGACAGUUAUGUCACAAAAAGCCUACUCAAGUAUUUCAGAAAGCGGCACCCCCAAGUCCCUUGCACAACUUUCAGCAACAAGAAAUGACUACAGAUGGCUUCCACAGCUGUUGCUUGUGCUGUAUCCUCUAUUUGGUCUUCCUGCUCUGGCUUCUGUGGGUAAGAAAAUGCCCUCCUCAAUCCCACAUGACUCCUGCACAUCAGAAAGUGCAUCUUCUGCCUCUGGCUAUCUGUACGACCAAUGCUGCCUUAAGGUGUCUGUGGUCAUUGUCAUCGUUGUCAGUUUACCUCUCUCCAGCCAUCAGUGAACCAGUUCCCCUAUGACAAUGUCCCCAAGGGUGGGGAGAGACCCUGCAGCGGACUCCUUCUUCCUUCUCAUGAGAGGCCACAGAGGGAGAGCUCGAGGCCGGUGUUCUAUGAGCCUCUGCAUCCACAUUGGAACUCUGCAGUCACUAGUGGUCUGCACACUGCAAGGAACGACCUAGGCAAAGGGAACGGGUUGGUACAUGAUGGACCUGCUCCCAUCAUGGGGAAUAGGAGAGUAGAGCUGUAGAUUUUCUAGAACCAUUCUCAUCCCAUGCAGUGUAAUUGUUUCUAAUAAAUGUAAUUUAUUAAACAAUGAAA